This 248-nucleotide ribosomal RNA is filed under the name uncultured bacterium. RNAcentral describes it as "partial 16S ribosomal RNA". It matches the Rfam family "Bacterial small subunit ribosomal RNA", at positions 85 to 334 of the family's 1533-position model. The record is from RNAcentral.
AAGAUGGCGACCGGUGCACGGGUGAGUAACACGUAUCCAACCUGCCGAUAACUCCGGAAUAGCCUUUCGAAAGAAAGAUUAAUACCGGAUGGCAUACGAAUAUCGCAUGAUAUUUUUAUUAAAGAAUUUCGGUUAUCGAUGGGGAUGCGUUCCAUUAGUUUGUUGGCGGGGUAACGGCCCACCAAGACUACGAUGGAUAGGGGUUCUGAGAGGAAGGUCCCCCACAUUGGAACUGAGACACGGUCCAA